Molecule: ribosomal RNA, 497 nt
Filed under: uncultured bacterium
Lineage: Bacteria
Description: partial 16S ribosomal RNA
Rfam family: Bacterial small subunit ribosomal RNA
Source: RNAcentral
GAUGAACGCUGGCGGCGUGCCUAAUACAUGCAAGUCGAGCGAACAGACGAGGAGCUUGCUCCUCUGACGUUAGCGGCGGACGGGUGAGUAACACGUGGAUAACCUACCUAUAAGACUGGGAUAACUUCGGGAAACCGGAGCUAAUACCGGAUAAUAUAUUGAACCGCAUGGUUCAAUAGUGAAAGACGGUUUUGCUGUCACUUCUAGAUGGAUCCCCGCCGCAUUAGCUAGUUGGUAAGGUAACGGCUUACCAAGGCGACGAUGCGUAGCCGACCUGAUAGGGUGAUCGGCCACACGGGAACGGAGACACGGACCAGACGCCUACGGGAGGCAGCAGUAGGGAAUCUGCCGCAAUGGGCGAAAGCCUGACGGAGCAACGCCGCGUGAGUGAUGAAGGUCUUCGGAUCGUAAAACUCUGUUAUUAGGGAAGAACAAAUGUGUAAGUAACUAUGCACGUCUUGACGGUACCUAAUCAGAAAGCCACGGCUAACUACGUG